UUUCUUCUCCUCUUAAAUUUUCGUGUGGUCUCCCUCCAUCUACCUUAAUUCUUCAUUUUUAUUUCCCUAUUUAUGCUCUCUUAGAAAAUUGACAUCUUGAAGAAUUAUUGUUUUCUCUUGAAUGGCGAUGAUGGUUGUGGAGAUGAGCAUUGUAUGAAAUCAAGGGAGACUCACACACAACUCAUCUUCCAUGAUUUCCUCUCCAUUUCAAGUGUGGAAGGAGGAAGAUGAAGA
Molecule: long non-coding RNA, 234 nt
Filed under: Lathyrus oleraceus (garden pea)
Lineage: Eukaryota; Viridiplantae; Streptophyta; Magnoliopsida; Fabales; Fabaceae
Description: Pisum sativum (pea) long non-coding RNA (PSAT_LNC010106)
Source: RNAcentral